AAUAUUGCGCAAUGGGGGGAACCCUGACGCAGCGACGUCGCGUGUGCGAUGAAGGUCUUCGGUUCGUAAAGCUCUGUCGUUGGGGACGAAAGAAUUGAUGCUACCCAUUGAGGACGCCCCGUCUAACUACAUGUCAGCAGCCGCGGUAAUACGUAGGGGGCAAGCGUUGUCCGGAAUUACUGGGCGUAAAGGGUGCGUAGGCGGCAUAUAAAAUCAGGUGGGAAACCCAACGGCUCAACUGUGGGCUUGCACAUGAAACUGGGAUGCUUGAGUACAGGAGAGGAAAGAGGAAUUCCUAGUGUAGUGGUGAAAUGAGUAGAUAGUAGGAAGAACACCAGUGGCGAAGGCGGCUUUCUGGACUGUAACUGACGCUGAGGCACGAAAGCGUGGGAAGCAAACA
RNAcentral lists this ribosomal RNA (400 nucleotides) under uncultured bacterium. RNAcentral's name for it is "partial 16S ribosomal RNA". It matches the Rfam family "Bacterial small subunit ribosomal RNA", at positions 360 to 774 of the family's 1533-position model. The record is from RNAcentral.